UUGUGUGCGAAGGUAGCAUAAUCAUUAGUCUUUUAAUUGAAGGCUUGUAUGAAUGGUUGGACAAAAAGUUAACUGUCUCAAUUAUAAAAAUUGAAUUUAACUUUUAAGUGAAAAGGCUUAAAUACACUGAGGGGACGAUAAGACCCUAUAAAGCUUUACAAUAAAUUAAUUAAAUUAUAAAUUAUAAGUUUAACUUAAUUUAAUUAGUAUUUGUUUCGUUGGGGCGACGAGAAUAUAAUUAUAUAACUGUUCUUUUAUUGUUAUAACAAAUUUAAUUGGGUGAAAAUUGAUCCUUUUAUAAAGAUUAAAAGAUUAAGUUACUUUAGGGAUAACAGCGUAAUCUUCUUUGAGAGUCCAUAUCGACAAGAAGGGUUGCGACCCCGAU
RNAcentral lists this ribosomal RNA (385 nucleotides) under Pleoticus muelleri. RNAcentral describes it as "partial 16S ribosomal RNA". It matches the Rfam family "Bacterial large subunit ribosomal RNA", at positions 1944 to 2530 of the family's 2925-position model. Lineage: Eukaryota; Metazoa; Arthropoda; Malacostraca; Decapoda; Solenoceridae. The record is from RNAcentral.